AAAUCUGAAGUAAUUAGUUACACUUAGUUUCGGCCUAAAUAUUGGCUUACCAGCCCAGAUUUU
Molecule: transfer RNA, 63 nt
Filed under: Daphnia laevis
Lineage: Eukaryota; Metazoa; Arthropoda; Branchiopoda; Diplostraca; Daphniidae
Description: tRNA-Arg
Source: RNAcentral